UACGAAGGGGGCUAGCGUUGCUCGGAAUCACUGGGCGUAAAGGGUGCGUAGGCGGGUCUUUAAGUCAGGGGUGAAAUCCUGGAGCUCAACUCCAGAACUGCCUUUGAUACUGAAGAUCUUGAGUUCAGGAGAGGUGAGUGGAACUGCGAGUGUAGAGGUGAAAUUCGUAGAUAUUCGCAAGAACACCAGUGGCGAAGGCGGCUCACUGGCCCGGUACUGACGCUGAGGUGCGAAAGCGUGGGGAGCAAACAGG
This 253-nucleotide ribosomal RNA is filed under the name uncultured bacterium. RNAcentral describes it as "partial 16S ribosomal RNA". It matches the Rfam family "Bacterial small subunit ribosomal RNA", at positions 524 to 776 of the family's 1533-position model. The record is from RNAcentral.